GUAGGUGGCAAGCGUUGUCCGGGAAUUAUUGGGGCGUAAAGCGCGCGCAGGCGGUUCUUUAAGUCUGAUGUGAAAGCCCACGGGCUCAACCGUGGAGGGUCAUUGGAAGCUGGAGAACUUGAGUACAGAAGAGGAAAGCGGAAUUCCACGUGUAGCGGUGAAAUGCGUAGAGAUGUGGAGGAACACCAGUGGCGAAGGCGGCUUUCUGGUCUGUAACUGACGCUGAGGCGCGAAAGCGUGGGGAGCAAACAGGAUUAGAUACCCUGGUAGUCCACGCCGUAAACGAUGAGUGCUAAGUGUUAGGGGGUUUCCGCCCCUUAGUGCUGCAGCUAACGCAUUAAGCACUCCGCCUGGGGAGUACGGCCGCAAAGGCUG
Molecule: ribosomal RNA, 375 nt
Filed under: uncultured organism
Description: partial 16S ribosomal RNA
Rfam family: Bacterial small subunit ribosomal RNA
Source: RNAcentral